RNAcentral lists this ribosomal RNA (314 nucleotides) under Ixodes ricinus (castor bean tick). Its description in RNAcentral is "partial large subunit ribosomal RNA". The record is from RNAcentral. Lineage: Eukaryota; Metazoa; Arthropoda; Arachnida; Ixodida; Ixodidae.
AAAAGCUUUCUUUAAUUGAAUAAUUGAAUUUAAUUUUUUANUGCAAAAGCAAAAAUAAAAAUUAGGGACAAGAAGACCCUAUGAAUUUUUUAUUAAAUUUUAUAAAACUUUAUAUAAAAUUUAAUUUAAUUGGGGUGAUGGAAAAAGAAUAAAUAUCUUUUUUUUAAAAAAAAAUUGGUUCCGUUUUUAGCGAUUAAAUGAAAAAAANACUCUAGGGAUAACAGCGUAAUAAUUUUGGAUAGUUCAUAUAGAUAAAAUAGUUUGCGACCUCGAUGUUGGAUUAGGAUUCUUUUUUGGUGAANAAGUUAAAAAAA